RNAcentral lists this ribosomal RNA (515 nucleotides) under uncultured euryarchaeote. RNAcentral's name for it is "bacterial SSU rRNA". It matches the Rfam family "Archaeal small subunit ribosomal RNA", at positions 339 to 856 of the family's 1478-position model. Lineage: Archaea; Methanobacteriati; Methanobacteriota. The record is from RNAcentral.
GCGCGAAACCUUCACAAUGCACGAAAGUGUGAUGAGGGUACUCCGAGUGCGCAUACAUAGUAUGUGCUUUUCUGCAGCGUAAAUAGUUGCAGGAAUAAGGGCUGGGCAAGACCGGUGCCAGCCGCCGCGGUAACACCGGCAGCCCUAGUGGUGGUCGCUUUUAUUGGGCCUAAAGCGUCCGUAGCCGGAUAGGCAAGUCUUUGGGUAAAUCCUACGUCUUAAGCGUGGGAAUUCUAAAGAUACUACCUGUCUUGAGGCCGGGAGAGGCUAGAGGUACUCCUGGGGUAGGGGUAAAAUCCUAUAAUCCUGGGGGGACCACCGAUGGCGAAGGCAUCUAGCUGGAACGGGCCUGACGGUGAGGGACGAAACCCAGGGGAGCGAGCCGGAUUAGAUACCCGGGUAGUCCUGGGCGUAAAUGAUGUGGGCUUGGUGUGAGCGCAUCGACGAGGUGCGUUUGUGCCGUAGGGAAGCCGUUAAGCCCACCGCCUGGGGAGUACGGUCGCAAGGCUGAAACU